This 253-nucleotide ribosomal RNA is filed under the name uncultured bacterium. RNAcentral's name for it is "partial 16S ribosomal RNA". It matches the Rfam family "Bacterial small subunit ribosomal RNA", at positions 524 to 776 of the family's 1533-position model. The record is from RNAcentral.
UACGGAGGGGGCUAGCGUUGUUCGGAAUUACUGGGCGUAAAGCGCACGUAGGCGGCUUUGUAAGUUAGAGGUGAAAGCCCGGGGCUCAACCUCGGAUCGGCCGUGGCGACUCGUGGGCUGGAGCACUGUAGAGGCGGGUGGAAUUCCGGGUGUAGCGGUGGAAUGCGUAGAGAUCCGGAAGAACACCAGUGGCGAAGGCGGCCCGCUGGGCAGUGGCUGACGCUGAAGCGCGACAGCGUGGGGAGCAAACAGG